CAGGCAACAACGAUCCAGAAACCCCCUGCCACUACAACAGCACCAAUGAAGGCGCAAGUGAUCAUGCCCUCUUUUGAUCAUGAAUGGCCAACACUUGCAGAGAGAGGUACUUAAGAUUUACACACACACAAUACUUAUACAAUAAAAAGUAGUAAUAUUGCUUAAGAGGUACAGUAAUAGAAAAAUUAACAUAAAACCUUUUAAUGACAUUUUCUUUCAGACAUCUCGGAUUCAUCCAAAAGGCUCACGUGGCACACGGAUGUCUCAUCGUAUUCAGGUGAAUAAUCAUUCAAAUAAACUAAAUCAGUUUUGUUGCCUUUAUUUGAAACCUUUGGAUUACAAUAAUUCCUUACAGAAGUACCUGAAGGACUGCAGUGUGGUCCUUCAAAAGCUGAAAGUGAAAACUGGUGAUGCCAAUUUGCCAUCACCAGCCCCCAGUGGCGAAACGUAUGCAGCUGCUGUCCAAGACCGAUCUGUUUCAUGCACAGAUGUCUCCAAGGACCAGCUUUGCUGUCACUCCCAGGCGCAUUUGAAAGACUGCUGAGGUUCUCCACCAUCUCCAGAUGAACAAGGACAAAUGCAGUGUUCCAUCGCCUGUACCAAAAGGCAAAAUGAACACAAUGCUCUCAAAGACAUAGGACCUGUUGACCUAGGAGAUGCUACAAAGCAACAGGAAUGUGAAAGGAGACAAAUGUUCAACCUGAGAAGUUCCUUGAUGCUCCUGGUGCUGCAGCUUCAAGUGUUACCAUUGCAUUUUCCUCAUCAAAUCAAGAAAGUUUGAACAGUUUUCAUUCUAUUGUCAAAGGUUCAUUUCAUCAAGGUCAUAAAGCGUUUUGGGUGCAACCGAUUUAAACGGUGUGCACCAAACAGCAUUACAGCCAUUAUGACAAACACUGUGAAAAUGGCUUCCACAUGGUCAAGAAAAGACAUUAACAAUAUCUUGAUAAGUGGUGAUAGUUUACACGUACAUGAAAGAGCAAAACAUGAUCAGUGCUGCAGAAGGCAGUGGUUAUGAUUUUGUUCAAGAAUUACCCACAGAGCACACAUUCCAUCAUCACAAGUUCUCUUUGGAAUACAUGCAGACCUUCACAGGACAUCAUCAUCAGCAGAUUUACCAUGAAGAUGUUUCAGAUUUUGCCAUGCCUUUGGACAUUGCAUUACAGAGAGCUUUAUUUGUUCUUUCAUAACUGCACAUGUUUCUACUAAUUGUAAACAGCCAUCAUUGUCAAUCUCAGUUUUCAGCAUUUGCUGGACAAAAACAAGGACAGAACAGGGAAUGCGUUUGUUGGCUUUCAAAAUGUUUAAAAGUUGUAAAAUGUUUUACUAUUUUGUUUGCCCAAGCAGGGGCUCUAGGUGCUGUUUCUGUAUUGGGUUAUUGCACUGUUAGUAGGGUAACAAAGAAAAAUAACCCUUAUUUAAUACAAUUUUAAACUUUAUCUGCCUAUUUUAUUUAUUUUAGCCUUAAAAAAUGUAAAUGUUACUACCACUUUGUCUGAA
This is a non-coding RNA of Nothobranchius furzeri (turquoise killifish), 1497 nucleotides long. The record is from RefSeq and is a predicted model, not a curated record. NCBI's taxonomy places the organism in Eukaryota, Metazoa, Chordata, Actinopteri, Cyprinodontiformes, Nothobranchiidae.